CCUAGAGUUGUAGGCUUUGCCUGCUAUCUCUUACCCAUGUCUUUUGAGUACCUUCGUUUCCUCGGCUGGGUCGCCCACCGAUUGGACAAAUUUAAACCAUUUGCAGUUGCAAUCAGCGUCUGAAGAAACUUAAUAGUUA
RNAcentral lists this unclassified non-coding RNA (139 nucleotides) under soil metagenome. Its description in RNAcentral is "partial internal transcribed spacer 1". The record is from RNAcentral.